UAAGGAAUAUUGGUCAAUGGACGAAAGUCUGAACCAGCCAUGCCGCGUGGAGGAUGAAGGCCCUCUGGGUUGUAAACUUCUUUUAUUUGGGACGAAACACUUUCUUUCUAGAGAGCUUGACGGUACCAGAUGAAUAAGCACCGGCUAACUCCGUGCCAGCAGCCGCGGUAAUACGGAGGGUGCAAGCGUUAUCCGGAUUCACUGGGUUUAAAGGGUGCGUAGGCGGACAUGUAAGUCCGUGGUGAAAUCUCCGAGCUUAACUCGGAAACUGCCAUGGAUACUAUAUGUCUUGAAUGUUGUGGAGGUUAGCGGAAUAUGUCAUGUAGCGGUGAAAUGCAUAGAUAUGACAUAGAACACCAAUUGCGAAGGCAGCUGGCUACACAAAUAUUGACGCUGAGGCACGAAAGCGUGGGGAUCAAACAGGAUUAGAUACCCUGGUAGUCCACGCCCUAAACGAUGAUUACUCGACAUACGCGAUACACAGUGUGUGUCUGAGCGAAAGCAUUAAGUAAUCCACCUGGGAAGUACGACCGCAAGGUUGA
Molecule: ribosomal RNA, 542 nt
Filed under: uncultured Chitinophaga sp.
Lineage: Bacteria; Pseudomonadati; Bacteroidota; Chitinophagia; Chitinophagales; Chitinophagaceae
Description: bacterial SSU rRNA
Rfam family: Bacterial small subunit ribosomal RNA
Source: RNAcentral